AGAUUUUUGAAUCCAUGCUGAGAUUUUGUCAGACACCAACCCAUUAAAGCUGAUCAAACUUCCAAGAUAAGUGAAGUU
RNAcentral lists this microRNA precursor (78 nucleotides) under Schistosoma margrebowiei. RNAcentral's name for it is "mir-3492 microRNA precursor family". It matches the Rfam family "mir-3492 microRNA precursor family". The record is from Rfam by way of RNAcentral. Lineage: Eukaryota; Metazoa; Platyhelminthes; Trematoda; Strigeidida; Schistosomatidae.